RNAcentral lists this ribosomal RNA (253 nucleotides) under uncultured bacterium. Its description in RNAcentral is "partial 16S ribosomal RNA". It matches the Rfam family "Bacterial small subunit ribosomal RNA", at positions 524 to 776 of the family's 1533-position model. The record is from RNAcentral.
UACGAAGGGGGCUAGCGUUGUUCGGAAUUACUGGGCGUAAAGCGCACGUAGGCGGAUCUUUAAGUCAGGGGUGAAAUCCUGGAGCUCAACUCCAGAACUGCCUUUGAUACUGGCGACCUUGAGUCCGGGAGAGGUGAGUGGAACUGCGAGUGUAGAGGUGAAAUUCGUAUAUAUUCGCAAGAACACCAGUGGCGAAGGCGGCUCACUGGCCCGGUACUGACGCUGAGGUGCGAAAGCGUGGGGAGCAAACAGG